RNAcentral lists this ribosomal RNA (117 nucleotides) under Chloroflexota bacterium. Lineage: Bacteria; Bacillati; Chloroflexota. The record is from RNAcentral.
UCCGGUGACGCUAGCGGAGUGGACCCACCCGUUCCCAUCUCGAACACGGAAGUGAAACGCUCCAGCGCCGACGAUACUGCGUGGGUGACUGCGUGGGAAAAUAGGUCGCCGCCGGGA